CUCCCUCGCGGUUCCCAUAAUUCCCAGCAUCUACACAUCACAGAUUAAGGAUUACUGUAUGAUGUGUAGAUGCUGGGAAUUCUGGGAACCGCGAGGGAG
This 99-nucleotide microRNA precursor is filed under the name Pelobates cultripes (western spadefoot toad). The record is from RNAcentral. Lineage: Eukaryota; Metazoa; Chordata; Amphibia; Anura; Pelobatidae.